Long non-coding RNA from Sycon ciliatum, 963 nucleotides. RefSeq lists it as uncharacterized. The record is from RefSeq and is a predicted model, not a curated record. Lineage: Eukaryota; Metazoa; Porifera; Calcarea; Leucosolenida; Sycettidae. The transcript has 5 exons.
AAAACGUUUUGUCUCAAGUGGACAGAUUGGAUCGACAUGUCUUCUGGUCCGUGGAAGCCAACCAGGAGGGCAAAACGACAGGCUGGUAGUUGCGGCGGCACCAACGUUUCGGUCUUGCUGGUGUCACUGGGAAUCCCGGCGGAGACUCCACAAUGGACCAAUCGCCUAUCUUCCAACGUAUCUUCCUGCUUCUCGCUGCUCUGGCAUAUAUAAAUGCAGUGCAUUGUGCGCACUGGCACAAAUGCCCAAACGGCAGCUACAUUGUUACGCUGAUAGAGUCCGAUAAGCCGACAGAGAUUGCUGCUGCGAACAAACUUCGGUUCAAUAUGGAAUGCAAGGCCAAUACCAUGGCUAUCCCCCGAGGUGGCAGCUGCUUGAGGGACUUCGCCGUUAGCUACGCAGACACCAGCACAUGUUACAGGAGUUUAUUCUCUGGAACUGCUCCGCCAGGGGAUUCUAGCAACAUAGCUUGUCCAGGGUUGGUUGGCGUGGGUAGCCGAGGUGACGGAAAAUCACCAUUAAUUUGUCAUUUUGACUGGUUGUCCAGGAAUGUGCUACACUGGACAGACAGGAGACGACCAAUCACUGUCUACCUGGCUAAACGGUCAGGCGGACCACGCAAUGCCACUAUGACCUGGGCGGAGGCAAGUUCCGCAUGCAACGCUUCGCUGCUGUCCGCGUCAUUCAUGAAUGUAUUACCAUUGGUGGGAGCGUAUGUUCGAUAUAUCGCUGACUUGCUCAACCAGACCAGGGUGUGGGCAUCAACACGGCAUUUCUCUCUCGAUGCCUCCAGUAACUUUACUAGGGAAUCUAGAGAGACGGCUGGCACAAGGUUGCUGCCGCUAUGUGCAGAGGUGGAUGAAUGUUCUCUUGCCAUCCACAAUUGCUCCACCAAUGGCCAGUGUGUCAAUAUGCUGGCGUCUUAUGUUUGCAGGUGCAACCCUCACUUUUCCGGGAUAUACU